RNAcentral lists this ribosomal RNA (204 nucleotides) under uncultured bacterium. Its description in RNAcentral is "partial 16S ribosomal RNA". It matches the Rfam family "Bacterial small subunit ribosomal RNA", at positions 1300 to 1500 of the family's 1533-position model. The record is from RNAcentral.
GCAGGCUGAAAUUACGCCUGCAUGAAGCCGGAAUUGCUAGUAAUGGCAGGUCAGCAUACUGCCGUGAAUACGUUCCCGGGCCUUGUACACACCGCCCGUCACACCAUAAGAGUUGGGAAUACCCGAAGCCUGUGAGCUAACUAUUUAUAGAGGCAGCAGUCGAAGGUAGAAUCAAUGAUUGGGGUGAAGUCGUAACAAGGUAUC